ACGGAAGGCAGCAGUGGGGAAUAUUGCACAAUGGGCGCAAGCCUGAUGCAGCGAUGCCGCGUGAGGGAAGAAGGUUUUCGGAUUGUAAACCUCUGUCAACAGGGACGAUAAUGACUGUACCUGUGAAGGAAGCUCCGGCUAACUACGUGCCAGCAGCCGCGGUAAUACGUAGGGAGCAAGCGUUAUCCGGAAUUACUGGGUGUAAAGGGAGUGUAGGCGGGACUGCAAGUCAGGUGUGAAAUCUAUGGGCUUAACCCAUAAACUGCAUUUGAAACUGUAUCUCUUGAGUGUCGGAGAGGUAGAUGGAAUUCCUAGUGUAGCGGUGAAAUGCGUAGAUAUUAGGAGGAACACCAGUGGCGAAGGCGAUCUACUGGACGAUAACUGACGCUGAGGCGCGAAAGCGUGGGGAGCAAACAGGAUUAGAUACCCUGGUA
This 434-nucleotide ribosomal RNA is filed under the name uncultured Ruminococcus sp. RNAcentral describes it as "partial 16S ribosomal RNA". It matches the Rfam family "Bacterial small subunit ribosomal RNA", at positions 341 to 792 of the family's 1533-position model. The record is from RNAcentral. Lineage: Bacteria; Bacillati; Bacillota; Clostridia; Eubacteriales; Oscillospiraceae.